CAUCCAAACGCAUCAACAACCAUUUCCUCCCUGCAGCCGCGGUUUGGACUGCCCGGAACGUCCAGCCAAGCCGGGGUUGAGUCCUGCCAACAGGGAGACUGCAGACUGCGGUGCUGGGCAGGGGCAGGGCCGCUCCUGCCGCCGCACGCCAAAGCUUUCCGCCUCCUCCCGAGUGAUUUAAGAGGGUUCGGGACCCAGAUAAGACCCCGCCCUUGCAGCCACGACCCCGGAACGGGAGGAGGAGAGAGGCGGCCUCGGCUCAGCAGAGCCAAGCCUUUGGAAAAACAGGCUGCUCCUCCCCAGCGACCAGCAGCGGCCCGGGCUGGGCGAGCGGCGCGUCGCUGCCGGUGCGCGCCGAGCGGCUCCCAGAACCCCUGACUCUGGAGUGGCGGAUUGGAAUCCUCCUGGAUGUGGAAUCCAAGACUGGCUUGAGACCUCCUGACAUCUCUGAGCUUUGGCUUCCACAUCUGUGGAACAAGGACAAUAGAGCUUCCUGGCCUCAGAGGAGACUGCGAGAUGACCUACAAGGUCAGGUUCUUGGCAGAGAAUGACAAAGUAAUUGUCUCCAUCACAGCCACCCACAGUCCCCAAACCUACAAAGAGCUGCUGGGCCUGGAGUCCUUGAGUUUGGAACAUCCUUGCCCCCAAAAAGCCCACCCCCACCCCCCAUAUUGUCGAAGCUUCGGGAGUCUACCUGAAGAGGUAGAGGGAGGAUGGCUGCUCUACCCGGAAAAGCUCGAGUGUUACCUAGCAAUACCUUAACCCCAGCUCCAGCUCACAACAGGGCACCCUGGGGCUCUCGUCACACGCCACCCCCCCACCACCAGUGCCUUCGAAAGCAGACCCUGAAAAUCUCUCAUAGACUAAAAAAAGCAGGGAUGCCCGCCCCCCCCAGCUCAGAUUAAACACAGGCUGUCUUUCCCGGCCCUCCAGCUUCCUGCCUCCUCUCCACGCCCCUCCUCCCCCCCCUCCCCUCUUUGUCUACUGUCUUUCCACCUCCGCUUCUCCCCACUCACCCCUCUCCCUGACAGCAGCCGCCUUGCCACCUUACCCCACAGAGAGUCAGGGCCCAGAGCCCUCCCCACUCUGCUUCAGACCCAGCAUGACUCUCCACUCUGCCUUGUGGAAUGGCCCAGGCCCUGAACUUUUUCCCUCUGGGUAUCCGAUUCCUUCCCUCCCAUUGAUGCAUAACCUGGGCCCUGGGCUCCUUGUCUAGAGUCACAUUGGGUGCCUCCUGCUGUCUUAUGAGUCAGGAAGCAGGUAGCCAAGGGGGUCCCUCUGGGGGACCUGGCUCCCCUCCUUACCAACUAGACACCCGGGAGGGGUUUUGGGGACCUGUCACUGGGCAAGCAGGUGAGGCAGGUUUGGGGGUCCUGAGUCUGAUUGUCCACAAGCUCAGGGCUUACUGCCCAGACCUUUGGGGCAUCCCCAUGUGGGGUUCCUGGUAGGGUCUUCUUGACCCCCUACUCCCUCCCUCUCUUCCUUCUAGGCAGCGACCCUUCCCCUAGCUGUUGAUAAGCCCCUCAAACACAUCACAGCCACACCCUGUAUGCAGGAGGAGCUGUUUGAGCAGAUGUUUCAUAUACAAAACAACAAUAGUCAUUAUUUUGUUGAAUGGAUCGCCAACAACCGAAGCCAUCUGUUUUCUUCAACAACCUACCCUAAGCCUAAAAAUGCCUGCCGCCUCCCAUGCCAAAAACACGACCACCCAAGAGCUGUCUGAGCAUAUCUAUAAGUAGUUCUCUGCCCGGAUCCACUGCAAGGCUACAAAUAGUCCCUGACACCCCCAACCUUCCCUCUGAUGGGGCCUCAUGAAGGAAGAGACAGAGCUUUACAUUCUGCACUAUGGGUUAUGGCUUGCUUUCUCCCCCGCCCCCACCCUUGGUGUUUUCUUUGCUUAAACAAACAAACAGACACACCUAUUUUACUCUGAAGAUGAAUCUCUUGCCAUCUACAGAUUUACUACCAGACCCAUAUCUAGCUUCCCACCCCCCUACUGCUGACCCAACUUCUGAAGCUCAUGCUGAAAGAGCGCCCAUCUCCACAUCCUCUGCUACCCCCGUGCCCAUCACCAUUCCUGAAUCCUGCGUUUUCCCCUCUGACUGCAGCAGAGAAAUCCUGGAAAGAUGUCGUUGGACUACGUGUAUUUUUUUUUCCCUUCACUUUUUAUUACACAAGUAAGACAGUAUACCUCUAUUAUUAAAAAUAUCUCAAAAAGGGGGGCACCUGGGUGGCUCAGU
This is a long non-coding RNA of Mustela erminea (ermine), 2240 nucleotides long. RefSeq lists it as uncharacterized. NCBI's taxonomy places the organism in Eukaryota, Metazoa, Chordata, Mammalia, Carnivora, Mustelidae. The transcript has 4 exons. The record is from RefSeq and is a predicted model, not a curated record.